GAUACUCUUAUUAAGCGACGAGGUGCAA
RNAcentral lists this small RNA (28 nucleotides) under Bombyx mori (domestic silkworm). RNAcentral's name for it is "ovarian small RNA-5200". The record is from RNAcentral. Lineage: Eukaryota; Metazoa; Arthropoda; Insecta; Lepidoptera; Bombycidae.